GAUUUCAACUGAAAAAGUUAUCAACAACAAAGUUAAAUAACUCAUCAAGAUCUAAAUCUUUUAUUUUGGUCAUUUCUUCAUCUGAUAAAGUGAUAGUAACAUUGUUCACAAAAUUGACAUAUCUCUUAUCUGGUUUUAUAAACUAUAACACAUAUAUGUAAAAUUUGUGAACAAUGUUACUAACAUUUUAUCAGAUGAAGAAAUGACCAAAAUAAAAGUUUUAGAUCUUGAUGAUUUAUUUAACUUUGUUGUUGAUAACUUUUUCACUUGAAAUC
Molecule: microRNA precursor, 275 nt
Organism: Oryza sativa Indica Group (long-grained rice)
Lineage: Eukaryota; Viridiplantae; Streptophyta; Magnoliopsida; Poales; Poaceae
Rfam family: MIR821 microRNA precursor family
Source: Rfam